Molecule: ribosomal RNA, 495 nt
Filed under: uncultured bacterium
Lineage: Bacteria
Description: partial 16S ribosomal RNA
Rfam family: Bacterial small subunit ribosomal RNA
Source: RNAcentral
GACGAACGCUGGCGGCGUGCCUAAUACAUGCCAGUAGAACGCUGAAGGAGGAGCUUGCUCUUCUGGAUGAGUUGCGAACGGGUGAGUAACGCGUAGGUAACCUGCCUGGUAGCGGGGGAUAACUAUUGGAAACGAUAGCUAAUACCGCAUAAGAGUAGAUGUUGCAUGACAUUUGCUUAAAAGGUGCAAUUGCAUCACUACCAGAUGGACCUGCGUUGUAUUAGCUAGUUGGUGGGGUAACGGCUCACCAAGGCGACGAUACAUAGCCGACCUGAGAGGGUGAUCGGCCACACUGGGACUGAGACACGGCCCAGACUCCUACGGGAGGCAGCAGUAGGGAAUCUUCGGCAAUGGACGGAAGUCUGACCGAGCAACGCCGCGGGAGUGAAGAAGGUUUUCGGAUCGUAAAGCUCUGUUGUAAGAGAAGAACGAGGGUGAGAGUGGAAAGUUCACACUGUGACGGUAUCUUACCAGAAAGGGACGGCUAACUACGUG